Non-coding RNA from Pelobates cultripes (western spadefoot toad), 806 nucleotides. The record is from the annotation of a GenBank genome assembly. NCBI's taxonomy places the organism in Eukaryota, Metazoa, Chordata, Amphibia, Anura, Pelobatidae.
AUAAUGAUAAGGUUAUUUAAUUCUUUAAAAUAUGUGUAAAAGGGUUGUGGCUUAAUAACCAUUCUGUCCAAUCUAGCCAUGAAUUAUAAAAAUGGUUAACUUUUUUUCUUUGUUUAUUACUAUAUGUGUUAAGGUGUACUAUGUCCGUUGCUGCUGCCCAAGAGUAGUGGGAGUUUGAGUGCAGGACUUGUUUUUGAGUAUUUGCCUUUACUUUUGUAUCACACAGCUAUGUUAUAAUGCUGCUGCCACCCACCCCAUGUAUUCCCAAUUAAGGGUUAAUAAGCAUGAAAGGGUAAAAUACCCCUCUGUCUCAUUAGAGAUAUCUUUGACAGAAGCUCAAGGAAGCAAGGUGAAUAGUCAGUAUAGGACCCACCUAAGAGGUUUUCCUUUAUGCCACAGGUGGACAUUGGAGUAACUAAAUAACUUCCGUUUGUGUAAAUAUGCAAAGGAAUUUGGGAAGAGCGCAGGUAACCUUUUUCCUUUGGUUUUUAUUGUAUGUAUUGACGUUGAUGUGUGCUAUGGUCGUUGCUGCCACCCAAGAGUAGUGGGAGUUUGAGUUACUUGGGGGUAAAAUAUAAUCUAUGUAAAGUAUGUUACUGUAUAUGUUUAAAUGAAUACAUUCAGAAAGAGGCCCUUCUUAAUACACAUGGGAGUCUGGCCUGCAAUUCCGGGUCAAAGGUUAUAAUAACAGUGGGCCUUCAUCACGCUAUCUGAACAAGAACCAUGUGUGUUAUCCAUUGAUAUACAAUGGACAUAUGUCCGAUAAUUAAUACUAGAUGUCUAGGCGGGGCUACCAGUUCGCGUGU